UACGUAGGGGGCAAGCGUUGUCCGGAAUCAUUGGGCGUAAAGAGCGCGUAGGCGGCCCAGUAAGUCCGCUCUGAAAGUCCGAGGCUCAACCUCUGAAUGCGGGUGGAUACUGCUGGGCUAGAGUCCGGAAGAGGCGAGUGGAAUUCCUGGUGUAGCGGUGAAAUGCGCAGAUAUCAGGAGGAACCCCGAUGGCGAAGGCAGCUCGCUGGGACGGUACGGACGCUGAGGCGCGAAAGCGUGGGGAGCAAACAGG
Molecule: ribosomal RNA, 253 nt
Filed under: uncultured bacterium
Lineage: Bacteria
Description: partial 16S ribosomal RNA
Rfam family: Bacterial small subunit ribosomal RNA
Source: RNAcentral